This 491-nucleotide ribosomal RNA is filed under the name uncultured bacterium. RNAcentral's name for it is "partial 16S ribosomal RNA". It matches the Rfam family "Bacterial small subunit ribosomal RNA", at positions 29 to 506 of the family's 1533-position model. The record is from RNAcentral.
AGUGAACGCUGGCGGUAGGCCUAACACAUGCCAGUCGAACGGCAGCACAGUAAGAGCUUGCUCUUACGGGUGGCGAGUGGCGGACGGGUGAGGAAUACAUCGGAAUCUACUUUUUCGUGGGGGAUAACGUAGGGAAACUUACGCUAAUACCGCAUACGACCUACGGGUGAAAGCAGGGGAUCUUCGGACCUUGCGCGAUUGAAUGAGCCGAUGUCGGAUUAGCUAGUUGGCGGGGUAAAGGCCCACCAAGGCGACGAUCCGUAGCUGGUCUGAGAGGAUGAUCAGCCACACUGGAACUGAGACACGGUCCAGACUCCUACGGGAGGCAGCAGUGGGGAAUAUUGGACAAUGGGCGCAAGCCUGAUCCAGCCAUACCGCGUGGGUGAAGAAGGCCUUCGGGUUGUAAAGCCCUUUUGUUGGGAAAGAAAAGCAGCAGGUUAAUACCCCGCUGUUCUGACGGUACCCAAAGAAUAGGCACCGGCUAACUUCGU